RNAcentral lists this ribosomal RNA (557 nucleotides) under Sphingobium sp. StTD668. RNAcentral's name for it is "bacterial SSU rRNA". It matches the Rfam family "Bacterial small subunit ribosomal RNA", at positions 102 to 694 of the family's 1533-position model. Lineage: Bacteria; Pseudomonadati; Pseudomonadota; Alphaproteobacteria; Sphingomonadales; Sphingobiaceae. RNAcentral also lists the same sequence under 9 other names. The record is from RNAcentral.
ACGGGUGCGUAACGCGUGGGAAUCUGCCCUUGGGUUCGGAAUAACGUCGGGAAACUGACGCUAAUACCGGAUGAUGACGUAAGUCCAAAGAUUUAUCGCCCAGGGAUGAGCCCGCGUAGGAUUAGCUAGUUGGUGAGGUAAAGGCUCACCAAGGCGACGAUCCUUAGCUGGUCUGAGAGGAUGAUCAGCCACACUGGGACUGAGACACGGCCCAGACUCCUACGGGAGGCAGCAGUAGGGAAUAUUGGACAAUGGGCGAAAGCCUGAUCCAGCAAUGCCGCGUGAGUGAUGAAGGCCUUAGGGUUGUAAAGCUCUUUUACCCGGGAUGAUAAUGACAGUACCGGGAGAAUAAGCCCCGGCUAACUCCGUGCCAGCAGCCGCGGUAAUACGGAGGGGGCUAGCGUUGUUCGGAAUUACUGGGCGUAAAGCGCACGUAGGCGGCGAUUUAAGUCAGAGGUGAAAGCCCGGGGCUCAACCCCGGAACUGCCUUUGAGACUGGAUUGCUUGAACAUCGGAGAGGUGAGUGGAAUUCCGAGUGUAGAGGUGAAAUUCGUAGA